RNAcentral lists this ribosomal RNA (347 nucleotides) under Clostridioides difficile. RNAcentral describes it as "partial 23S ribosomal RNA". It matches the Rfam family "Bacterial large subunit ribosomal RNA", at positions 1 to 349 of the family's 2925-position model. Lineage: Bacteria; Bacillati; Bacillota; Clostridia; Peptostreptococcales; Peptostreptococcaceae. The record is from RNAcentral.
UGGUCAAGUUAUUAAGGGUGCAGGGCGGAUGCCUUGGCACUAGGAGCCGAUGAAGGACGUGAUAAGCUGCGAUAAGCUUCGGGGAGUUGCACGUAAACUUUGAUCCGAAGAUUUCCGAAUGAGGAAACUCACUUAGAGUAAUGUCUAAGUAUCAUUAAGUGAAUACAUAGCUUAAUGAGGGGAACUCAGGGAACUGAAACAUCUAAGUACCUGAAGGAAGAGAAAGAAAUUCGAUUCCGUAAGUAGCGGCGAGCGAACGCGGAUUAGCCCAAACCAAUAAAGUUUUCUUUAUUGGGGUUGCGGACAUAUCAUAACGAAGAGGUAUCGUAAUUGAAGAGGUUUGGAAA